RNAcentral lists this ribosomal RNA (253 nucleotides) under uncultured bacterium. Its description in RNAcentral is "partial 16S ribosomal RNA". It matches the Rfam family "Bacterial small subunit ribosomal RNA", at positions 524 to 776 of the family's 1533-position model. The record is from RNAcentral.
UACAGAGGUCUCAAGCGUUGUUCGGAUUCAUUGGGCGUAAAGGGUGCGUAGGCGGCGCGGUAAGUCGGGUGUGAAAUCUCGGGGCUUAACUCCGAAACUGCAUUCGAUACUGCCGUGCUUGAGGACUGGAGAGGAGACUGGAAUUUACGGUGUAGCGGUGAAAUGCGUAGAUAUCGUAAGGAAGACCAGUGGCGAAGGCGGGUCUCUGGACAGUUCCUGACGCUGAGGAGCGAAAGCAUGGGGAGCAAACAGG